This 66-nucleotide transfer RNA is filed under the name Tachypleus gigas (Indo-Pacific horseshoe crab). Its description in RNAcentral is "tRNA-Pro". The record is from RNAcentral. Lineage: Eukaryota; Metazoa; Arthropoda; Merostomata; Xiphosura; Limulidae.
CAGAAAAUAGUUUAAAAUGAAAAAUAUUGAUUUUGGGGAUCAGUGAUAGAGGUUAUCUUUUUCUGA